GACGAACGCUGGCGGCGUGCUUAACACAUGCAAGUCGAACGGAAAGGCCCUGCUUUUGUGGGGUGCGCGAGUGGCGAACGGGUGAGUAACACGUGAGUAACCUGCCCUUGACUGUGGGAUAACUUCAGGAAACUGGGUCUAAUACCGGAUAGGAGCUCCUGCUGCAUGGUGGGGGUUGGAAAGUUUCGGCGGUUGGUGGUGGACUCGCGGCUUAUCAGCUUGUUGGUGGGGUAGUGGCUUACCAAGGCUUUGACGGGUAGCCGGCCUGAGCGGGUGACCGGCCACAUUGGGACUGAGAUACGGCCCAGACUCCUACGGGAGGCAGCAGUGGGGAAUAUUGCACAAUGGGCGGAAGCCUGAUGCAGCAACGCCGCGUGCGGGAUGACGGCCUUCGGGUUGUAAACCGCUUUCGCCUGUGACGAAGCGUGAGUGACGGUAAUGGGUAAAGAAGCACCGGCUAACUACGUG
Molecule: ribosomal RNA, 468 nt
Filed under: uncultured bacterium
Lineage: Bacteria
Description: partial 16S ribosomal RNA
Rfam family: Bacterial small subunit ribosomal RNA
Source: RNAcentral